Molecule: long non-coding RNA, 1035 nt
Organism: Rhododendron vialii
Lineage: Eukaryota; Viridiplantae; Streptophyta; Magnoliopsida; Ericales; Ericaceae
Exons: 2
Source: RefSeq, a predicted model, not a curated record
GUUUUAAAACACUGAUGAAUUCCCUAUGAAAUCCACUUCCAGAUGAUAUUACCAAAAGACAAGAAAAAGUCUUUUCAAAAGGAAUUCAGAAAGAGUCCUUUGGCACUCUUCUUUGAUUCUCUUAUUAUAUCUUCUCCUUCUUAGCUUUGUUUUCACGUUGUGGACUUGUGGCCUCUAUGCAAAUGAACCAAAUCUUGUUUUACCUGCCCACAAAAAUGAAUAAACUGCCAACUCGUUCCUCUCUUACCACCUUUUUCCCUUGUGUAUAAGAAGUUGUCAUGGCAAUCCCUUACACAUAUCAUCCCUUUGACUUCAAUCUUCACCCUUUACUGAGGACACACUCUUUUCUCUUGCAAGUUUCUUCCCUUCUGUGGAGUCUUUCACUUUUGUCUCCAUCUCUUUCCAUACACUGAAAUCCUCUGAAUUCUUACAUCUGCUCUCUAAUAGAAAUGGCAUCAAGCUCUAUCACUUCUUUGCGUAGUUCUAGCUUGUCAUGGACACCCAAGCAAAACAAGCAGUUCGCGGAGGCUUUAGCCUAUUUUGACAAGGACACCCGAGAUCGCUGGCAAAAUGCAGCCAGGGCUGUGGGUGGAAAAUUAGCGAUCUUUCUGAAGGACAUCAUGCAAAUAGAAUCUGACCAAGUCCCUCUGCCCCGUUACAGGUCUGGUGGGAACAAUGGUAGAGCCAUUUAUAAUGCCCAGCGGUAGUGUUAUGCAGGCCAAUGAAGAAUCUAAAGCUCCAAUAAAGUUAAAGAUGCAACUAUGAUACAUAAUAGAUGGAUUUAAUUACAAGAGCAAAUGCAUAAAUCUGUAAAGAGCAUUGAUUGGAAGUGGUUAUAGACUACUGUUCCCUCUUUGUUCUAUUUUCUCAUUGUUGGUACAUCAACAAUUGGUGCGACAAAGAAGCAGCCGAAAACCUAUGUGUAACUAUUUGUCAUUUUAACUUAUCGCAUUGUUGUUUACCCAAAAAAAAAAGAAACCAUGUCCGUAUUGAAAUAGAUUCUCUUAUUCGAGACGAUAUUUAUAGUGCUCCUAA